RNAcentral lists this ribosomal RNA (496 nucleotides) under uncultured bacterium. Its description in RNAcentral is "partial 16S ribosomal RNA". It matches the Rfam family "Bacterial small subunit ribosomal RNA", at positions 28 to 506 of the family's 1533-position model. The record is from RNAcentral.
GAUGAACGCUGGCGGCGUGCCUAAUACAUGCAAGUCGAGCGAACAGACGAGGAGCUUGCUCCUCUGACGUUAGCGGCGGACGGGUGAGUAACACGUGGAUAACCUACCUAUAAGACUGGGAUAACUUCGGGAAACCGGAGCUAAUACCGGAUAAUAUAUUGAACCGCAUGGUUCAAUAGUGAAAGACGGUUUUGCUGUCACUUAUAGAUGGAUCCGCGCCGCAUUAGCUAGUUGGUAAGGUAACGGCUUACCAAGGCAACGAUGCGUAGCCGACCUGAGAGGGUGAUCGGCCACACUGGAACUGAGACACGGUCCAGAGUCCUACGGGAGGCAGCAGUAGGGAAGCGUCCGCAAUGGGCGAAAGCUUGACGGAGCAACGCCGCGUGAGUGAUGAAGGUCUUCGGAUCGUAAAACUCUGUUAUUAGGGAAGAACAAAUGUGUAAGUAACGAUGCACGUCUUGACGGUACCUAAUCAGAAAGCCACGGCUAACUACGU